AGGAAAGUCUAGUCUCUUGCAAGUUAACGCAUAGUGUUGUGAUAUAGCAACGUUAGCGCUUAGGUAAGCGAGUGGGAUGUAGGUCGUUUUUCUCUCGCAGCGAGAACGAAAGCGUUCGCUCCUCCGAAGCUUGUUUGGGGAUAAGGUUUGAUAUAUUGAAUACUGCUUGAUUUUAUCCAGAAAGAUUGUCGCGGGGUGAACUUCACCCAACUAAAUUUAGCUUACCGCU
This 229-nucleotide non-coding RNA is filed under the name Candidatus Hodgkinia cicadicola. Lineage: Bacteria; Pseudomonadati; Pseudomonadota; Alphaproteobacteria; Hyphomicrobiales. The record is from RNAcentral.